AAUAAUAGUUAUAGUCUUUAAACUUAAAAAAAUUGGCGGUAUUUAAAACUAAUUAGGGGAAUUUGUUUAUUAAAUGAUAAUCCGCAAGAAACCUUACUUUAAUUUAUUUAAUUUAUUUAUUGCCGUUAUCAGAAUAUUUUUUAAGAAAUUAAAUUUUCUAAAAUUUUUAUAAAAAAUUAUUUCAGGUCAUUAUGUAGUUUAUAUUAAAGCUUAGAUGAAUUACAAUAAAUUAUAUUUAUUUAUGGAUAUUAAAUUGAAAUAUUUAAUGAAAGUGAACUUAAUAGUAAAAUUUAAAUAUUAUAUUAUUUUGAAUUAAGAAUUAAAU
Molecule: ribosomal RNA, 325 nt
Filed under: Thrinax contigua
Lineage: Eukaryota; Metazoa; Arthropoda; Insecta; Hymenoptera; Tenthredinidae
Description: partial 12S ribosomal RNA
Source: RNAcentral